CCGAGUUUACAACUCCCAAACCCCUGUGAACAUACCUAUCGUUGCCUCGGCGGAUCAGCCCGCGCCCGUAAAACGGGACGGCCCGCCAGAGGACCCCUAAGCUCUGUUUCUAUAUGUAACUUCUGAGUAAAACCAUAAAUAAAUCA
RNAcentral lists this unclassified non-coding RNA (146 nucleotides) under soil metagenome. RNAcentral describes it as "partial internal transcribed spacer 1". The record is from RNAcentral.